Molecule: long non-coding RNA, 620 nt
Organism: Nicotiana attenuata
Lineage: Eukaryota; Viridiplantae; Streptophyta; Magnoliopsida; Solanales; Solanaceae
Exons: 2
Source: RefSeq, a predicted model, not a curated record
CCAAUUUAAAUAAGCAACAGAUUUCUCAGACCCCUCAUUCCCCACAAGAUUCCACCUCCAUUUACAGAUCUCUCUGAAACAGAGACAGCAGCAGCAGAAGGAAUGGAAGAAGUCUCUUGUCUAAAGCCAGAGAAAUCUUUAUGAUCAGCACAUUACCUGUAACAGUAUCACAGUAAUUGAGCAAUCUUACUAUCUCAGACAAGUAGAGCAGGAGAAGAAAAUUGUCUGCACACACGAACCAUAUUGCAUUCUCCAAUCAAAUAAAGUAUGUUUUACAUUACAUGAAGAUCAGGCAAAGAGAAAAAAAAGCUCUGAAUAGCCUAGAAGCUUAUUAUAUAACAUCUACACACAAAAUAAAUGAAAAGAAACUGACGUAGAAGGCCAAUUCAACUUAUUGAUCCUCCUAGCUCUCUCUAUGUUUUCUUCCUUCUUUUUUUUUUUUUGUUUUUCUUUCUCUCUUUUCAAUAUUCUUAUAAACUUUGGCGAGGUGCCAAUUUGUAAGUACAAUGUUUGUUCUGUACAACUAGCUAAUCAAUAGCCGAAAACUUAUGGAACAUCGAAUACCCCCAUUCGGGUUCCAUAACAACACACAAAAGAAUGAGAAACAAUUAAAAAAAAAA